GGACCUGAGCUCUAGGACCAUGCCUCAGGACUACCUGGCCUGAUGACUCCUUGCUGGCCCCAGUCCACCUGGGCGUGCUGCUGCGCCAGUUUCAACUGUUCUGCCUGCGGCUAUGGAACCCUGACCUGUUCACCGGACGUGCUACCUGUCCCAGACCUGCUGUUUUCAACUCUCUAGAGACAGCAGGAGCGGUAGAGAUAGUCUGAAUGAUAGGCUAUGAAAAGCCAACUGACAUUUACUCCUGAGGUGCUGACCUGUUGCACCCUCGACAACCACUGUGAUUAUUAUUAUUUGACCCUGCUGGUCAUCUACGAACAUUUGAACAUCUUGGCUAUGUUCUGUUAUAAUCUCCACCCGGCACAGCCAGAAGAGGACUGGCCACCCCUCAUAGCCUGGUUCCUCUCUAGGUUUCUUCCUAGGUUCUGGCCUUUCUAGGGAGUUUUUCCUAGCCACCGUGCUUCUACACCUGCAUUGCUUGCUGUUUGCGGUUUUAGGCUGGGUUUCUGUACAGCACUUUGAGAUAUCAGCUGAUGUAAGAAGGGCUUUAUAAAUACAUUUGAUUUUAUUUGAUUUAGGGAUGUAGUCAGAGACCUGGCAGUGUAGGGUCAGGACAACAACCUCUCCCUCCAUGUGAGCAAGACAAAAGAGCUGAUCGUGGACUACAGGAAAAGGAGGGGCAAGCACGAUUCACAUCGAUGAGGCUGUAGUGGAGCGGGUCGAGAGCUUCAAGUUCCUUGCUGUCCACAUCAGUAACAAACCAUCAUGGUCCAAACACAACAAGACAGUCGUGAAGAGGGUACCUAGUGGUUAGAGUGUUGGGCCUGUAACCGAAAGUUUGCUAGAUCGAAUCCCCUAGCUUACAAGUUGUGACAGAAUUACCCACCAAACCAGGACCAAGCAGCAGAGGAACGAGGAGGAAGGAUGGACGUGGGCAGAGCUAAGGAGGAGCGUUUCCAGGGCGAUGGAGUUUAGUAAACUCGAGAGGCAGCCCCAAUAAUUUUUUUUGGGGGGGGCACAAAGGCUAUUUGGCGG
Molecule: long non-coding RNA, 1032 nt
Filed under: Salmo salar (Atlantic salmon)
Lineage: Eukaryota; Metazoa; Chordata; Actinopteri; Salmoniformes; Salmonidae
Description: lncRNA (ENSSSAG00000092594.1)
Source: RNAcentral